UACAGAGGGGGCAAGCGUUGUUCGGAAUUACUGGGCGUAAAGGGCGCGUAGGCGGCCUGCUAAGUCGAACGUGAAAUCCCCGGGCUCAACCCGGGAACUGCGUCCGAUACUGGUUGGCUUGAAUUCGGGAGAGGGAUGCGGAAUUCCAGGUGUAGCGGUGAAAUGCGUAGAUAUCUGGAGGAACACCGGCGGCGAAGGCGGCUACCUGGACCGGUUCUGACGCUGAGGCGCGAAAGCGUGGGUAGCAAACAGG
Molecule: ribosomal RNA, 253 nt
Filed under: uncultured bacterium
Lineage: Bacteria
Description: partial 16S ribosomal RNA
Rfam family: Bacterial small subunit ribosomal RNA
Source: RNAcentral